RNAcentral lists this ribosomal RNA (497 nucleotides) under uncultured bacterium. Its description in RNAcentral is "partial 16S ribosomal RNA". It matches the Rfam family "Bacterial small subunit ribosomal RNA", at positions 28 to 507 of the family's 1533-position model. The record is from RNAcentral.
GAUGAACGCUGGCGGCGUGCCUAAUACAUGCAAGUCGAGCGAACAGACGCGGAGCUUUCUCCUCUGACGUUGACGGCGGAAGGGUUAGUAACACGCGGGUAACCUACCUAUAAAACUGUGAUAACUUCGGGAAACCGUAGCUAAUACCGGAUAAUAUAUUAAACCGGAGGGUUUAAUAGUUCAAGCCGGUUUUGCUGUCGAUUAUAGAUGAAUCGGCGCCGGAUUAGCUAGUUGGUAAGGUAACGGCUUACCAAGGCAACGAUGCGUAGCAGACCUGAGAGGAUGAUCGGCCACACUGGAACUGAGACACGGCCCAGACUCCUACGGGAGGCAGCAGUAGGGAAUCUUCCGCAAUGGGCGAAAGCUUGACGGAGCAACGCCGCGUGCGUGAUGAAGGUCUUCGGAUCGUAAAACUCUGUUAUUAGGGAAGAACAAGUGUGUAAGAAACUAUGCACGUCUUGACGGUACCUAAUCAGAAAGCCACGGCUAACUACGUG